AAACUGCGAUAAGUAGUGUGAAUUGCAUUUAGUGAAUCAUCGAAUCUUUGAACGCACAUUGCGCCCGCCAGUAUUCUGGCGGGCAUGCCUGUUCGAGCGUCAUUACAACCCUCAGGCCCCCGGGCCUGGCGUUGGGGAUCGGCGGAAGCCCCCUGCGGGCACAACGCCGUCCCCCAAAUACAGUGGCGGUCCCGCCGCAGCUUCCAUUGCGUAGUAGCUAACACCUCGCAACUGGAGAGCGGCGCGGCCACGCCGUAAAACACCCAACUUCUGAAUGUUGACCUCGAAUCAGGUAGGAAUACCCGCUGAACUUAAGC
Molecule: unclassified non-coding RNA, 317 nt
Filed under: plant metagenome
Description: partial contains 5.8S ribosomal RNA, internal transcribed spacer 2, and large subunit ribosomal RNA
Rfam family: 5.8S ribosomal RNA (bases 1-102)
Source: RNAcentral